AUCUGCAAUUCCUAUCUGAUUGGAUUUAAGAGAGAUCAUGUAGGGGGUUGUUCUUGGUUUGUGUUCAAGAGAUUAAAGAAGAAAAAGAGAUGAAAGAAGAGGUUACAAAAGGCAAGGACGAAAGAAAUAACAAAAGGAUAGUCAGUAUUUUGUUGUUAGCUUCACAAUGAGGGGAAAAAACAAAGUCAACAGCCAUAAUAUAGUUUAUGCUUAAAAAUGAUAAUCAAACCUAACAAGAUAUCAAGUAUCAACCUUGUUUCCCCAAAACCAUUUCCUUACUUUUCUUUUUAAGAUAACUCUCCAUUUUUUUUUGCUACUUUAUUUAUGUUAUGUUCUUGAUUUUGUAUUUGAUCCUGAUCAUGGAUGUGGUUGUAUCAUUGUCCUCUGACAGAUAUAAAUGGUAGAAGAAGAUCUGCUUUUGCUCAGUGUAGAGUGUAGACACAAUCUUUUAUUCAAGUACUAAUAUCUGUUUCAAUGAGAUUUUGAUGUUAAAUCUUUUUCUCUAACCAAAUUUGUUCGAUAGGUUAUUUAAUAAGUUAAUGGUUUCUGGACAUAAUGAGGAACGAUGAGAUAGAAAACAGCGGAUCGUACAAUGGACGAAAAUGAUUUUAGUUCAAUCCACCAAUAAAUUGCCCCUAACACCAAAAUCCUGGCUCCACUACUGCUAGGGGUCCACCAUAGACUUUGAAUCUUAUUACUGAUUUCUUGCCAAUUCCUACAAAAUACCAAUUACAAAAAACAAAACUUCUGAUAUAAUUGAAUUAGCUAUCUCAUAUCCCACUCCAUAAAAAGACAACAUAAUAUGAUGCCACCCUUUGCAAUUGUUCUCUCUUAUACUCAACCAGAUGGAUCCCAGAAUUAUUUGUUGUGAGUUGUGACCCA
This 882-nucleotide long non-coding RNA is filed under the name Phoenix dactylifera (date palm). RNAcentral describes it as "long non-coding RNA (PDAC_LNC013346)". The record is from RNAcentral. Lineage: Eukaryota; Viridiplantae; Streptophyta; Magnoliopsida; Arecales; Arecaceae.